UUUCAUGAAUAGUUAUAAUUUAUUUUUUUUUAAUUUUUAUAUCAAUAUGUUAAGUUAAACUUUAAUUUUUAAGUAAAAAUGAUUAAAUUAGUAUAAAUUUACUGUAAUUUUAAUUUGAAAGAUUAAGAUUAAGUUAAGGAAUUCGGCAAAUAAUUUUCUGCCUGUUUAUUAAAAACAUGUCCUUUUGUUAUUAUUUAAGGUCUAACCUGCCCAAUGAUUAUUUUAAUGGCUGCGGUAUUUUGACCGUGCAAAGGUAGCAUAAUAAUUAGUUUCUUAAUUGGAAGCUGGAAUGAAUGGUUUCACAAGAAAAUUUCUGUCUCUGUUUAAUUUUUAGAAAUUAACUUUUGAGUCAAAAGGCUUAAAUAACUUUUAAAGACGAGAAGACCCUAUAGAAUUUUAUAAAUAGUGUUUUUAUAUUUUUUGUUUAUGCUUAUUUAUCAUAUAUUAUUUAUUUUAUUGGGGUGAUAGAAAAAUUUAAUGAACUUUUUUUUUUGUUUUUCAUUUAUUUAUGA
Molecule: ribosomal RNA, 512 nt
Filed under: Platyceroides sp. YN-13
Lineage: Eukaryota; Metazoa; Arthropoda; Insecta; Coleoptera; Lucanidae
Description: partial 16S ribosomal RNA
Rfam family: Archaeal large subunit ribosomal RNA (bases 117-362)
Source: RNAcentral